This 138-nucleotide ribosomal RNA is filed under the name uncultured eukaryote. Its description in RNAcentral is "partial 18S ribosomal RNA". It matches the Rfam family "Eukaryotic small subunit ribosomal RNA", at positions 1299 to 1458 of the family's 1831-position model. The record is from RNAcentral.
UGGUGGAGUGAUUUGUCUGGUUAAUUCCGAUAACGAACGAGACUCUGUCCUGCUAAAUAGAAUGUGUGCUCUUCGCGUACACAUUUUUCUUCUUAGAGGGACUGGUGGCGUCUAGCCGCACGAGAUUGAGCAAUAACA